AGCAGCCGCCGCGGUAAUACGAAGGGGGCUAGCGUUGCUCGGAAUGACUGGGCGUAAAGGGCGCGUAGGCGGUUUUCCAAGUUAGAUGUGAAAUUCCUGGGCUCAACCUGGGGGCUGCAUUUGAUACUGGGAGGCUUGAGUAUGGAAGAGGGUCGUGGAAUUCCCAGUGUAGAGGUGAAAUUCGUAGAUAUUGGGAAGAACGCCGGUGGCGAAGGCGGCGGCCUGGUCCAUAACUGACGCUGAGGCGCGAAAGCGUGGGGAGCAAACAGGAUUAGAUAUCCCAGUAGUCCCUGUCUCUUAUAA
Molecule: ribosomal RNA, 303 nt
Filed under: uncultured bacterium
Lineage: Bacteria
Description: partial 16S ribosomal RNA
Rfam family: Bacterial small subunit ribosomal RNA
Source: RNAcentral